GACGAACGCUGGCGGCAUGCCUAAUACAUGCAAGUUGAACGAUGAUAUUCUCUGCUUGCAGAGAAUUGAAGAGUAGCGAACGGGUGAGUAACGCGUGGGGAACCUGCCCAUGAGAGGGGGAUAACAUUCGGAAACGGAUGCUAAUACCGCAUAAUGCUUUGGACCGCCUGGUCCAGAGACGAAAGACGGCUUUUGCUGUCACUCAUGGAUGGCCCCGCGCCGUAUUAGCUAGUUGGUGAGGUAAUGGCUCACCAAAGCUGUGAUACGUAGCCGACCUGAGAGGGUGAUCGGCCACACUGGGACUGAGACACGGCCCAGACUCCUACGGGAGGCAGCAGUAGGGAAUCUUCCACAAUGGGCGAAAGCCUGAUGGAGCAAUGCCGCGUGAAUGAAGAAGGUCUUCGGAUCGUAAAGUUCUGUUAUUAGAGAAGAACAAGUCAAGGAGUAACUGUCUUGACUUUGACGGUACCUAACCAGAAAGUCACGGCUAACUACGUG
RNAcentral lists this ribosomal RNA (498 nucleotides) under uncultured bacterium. RNAcentral's name for it is "partial 16S ribosomal RNA". It matches the Rfam family "Bacterial small subunit ribosomal RNA", at positions 28 to 507 of the family's 1533-position model. The record is from RNAcentral.